UGCCAGCCGCCGCGGUAAUACGGAGGGUGCAAGCGUUGCUCGGAAUCACUGGGCGUAAAGAGAGUGUAGGCGGCCUUAUAUGUCUGACGUGAAAGCCCCGGGCUCACCCCGGGAAGUGCGUUGGAAACUGUGAGGCUAGAGUCUCGGAGAGGGAGGUGGAAUUCCAGGUGUAGCGGUGAAAUGCGUAGAUAUCAGGAGGAACACCGAUGGCGAAGGCAUCUCUCUGGGCCGAUAUUGACGCUGAGUCGCGAAGGCGUGGGUAGCGAACGGGAUUAGAUA
This 279-nucleotide ribosomal RNA is filed under the name uncultured bacterium. RNAcentral describes it as "partial 16S ribosomal RNA". It matches the Rfam family "Bacterial small subunit ribosomal RNA", at positions 506 to 784 of the family's 1533-position model. The record is from RNAcentral.